UGGUACCUAACACUACAGGGAGAUAACUCUGUAAAAUCAGAUAAACGUUUUAAUUACGUUGUGUUGUUAAGGGAAUAUUAAGCUUCUCAGUGAUCAAAAUAAGUGUUUGUCAAACUGCUAUAUAACCAGUGUAAUUUUUCUGAUAAAACGGUUGGUUCAAAUUUUUUGAAAUUUUUAUAUUUUUGUAAAAGGGUCAAAGUAAAUACUUUGUCAAAAUUUUAAGAAAAUUAACCGAG
This 236-nucleotide long non-coding RNA is filed under the name Mytilus galloprovincialis (Mediterranean mussel). Lineage: Eukaryota; Metazoa; Mollusca; Bivalvia; Mytilida; Mytilidae. The record is from RNAcentral.